RNAcentral lists this unclassified non-coding RNA (332 nucleotides) under uncultured fungus. RNAcentral describes it as "partial contains 5.8S ribosomal RNA, internal transcribed spacer 2, and large subunit ribosomal RNA". The record is from RNAcentral. Lineage: Eukaryota; Fungi.
AACGCAUAUUGCGCUCGACCCCUCGGGGAAGAGCAUGUCUGCCUCAGCGUCGGUUUUACCCCUCAUCUCUCCUAUAUUUAUAUAGGCCUGUGGUUUUGCUCAAAACCACAUUUGAGAUGGAUCUGACCUCCCCAACAUGUGCAAACAAGUUGGGUUGGUUGAAGCAUAGAGACUUGAACGAGGACCCGAAACGGGCUUCAACUGGAUAGGUAGACCCAAUGCGUCAAGCAUUGACUACACGAAAGUUGAGCUUGUGGACCUUGUUGGGAGUCAAGCAGGAAACCAAUCAAACUUUCGACCUGAGCUCAGGCAAGGCUACCCGCUGAACUUAA